Molecule: ribosomal RNA, 1933 nt
Filed under: human gut metagenome
Description: bacterial LSU rRNA
Rfam family: Bacterial large subunit ribosomal RNA
Source: RNAcentral
UAGGCUAGGGGGCGAUGAGCUUACUGAACCUUAUCAAACUUCGAAUGCCGGAUAAAUGGUGCACAGCAGUCAGACAGUGUGAGAUAAGUUUCAUUGUCAAGAGGGAAACAGCCCAGACCCACAGCUAAGGUCCCAAAUGAACGCUAAGUGGAAAACGAUGUGGGGUUGCAGAAACAACCAGGAUGUUGGCUUAGAGGCAGCCACUCAUUAAAAGAGUGCGUAAUAGCUCACUGGUCGAGUGACCCUGCGCGGAAAAUAUAACGGGGCUAAGCGUCCAACCGAAGCUUGGGAUGUCUUAAUGACAUGGUAGGGGAGCGUCGUGUACGGGGUGAAGCAUGAGCGAGAGCACAUGUGGACUUUACACGAGUGAGAAUGCCGGAAUGAGUAGCGAGAAUUAUGUGGGAAUCAUAAUGGCCGAAAAUCUAAGGUUUCUUGGGGAAGGUUCGUCCGCCCAAGGUAAGCCGGGAGCUAAGGCGAGGCCGAAAGGCGUAGUCGAUGCACAUACGGUUGAAAUUCCGUAGCCGCCGAAAUUGUUAAGCACAGGGACACAUAGAGAUAUCCGAACCCGGGCGUUGGUUGACCCGGGCGCAAGGGACCGAACAUCAGUAGGGAAGUCGGAGAUGCUCUGUGGCGAGAAAAGCUGUGUGUAUUGAUUAGGCGCCCGUACCGCAAACCGACACAGGUAGAUGAGGAGAGAAUCCUAAGGCCAACGGGAGAAGGGUUGUUAAGGAACUCGGCAAAUUGACCCCGUAACUUCGGGAUAAGGGGAGCCUCCUACGGGAGGCCGCAGUGAAUAGGCCCAAGCAACUGUUUACCAAAAACACAGGUCUCUGCUAAAUCGAAAGAUGACGUAUAGGGGCUGACGCCUGCCCGGUGCCGGAAGGUUAAGAGGAGAGCUUAGCGCAAGCGAAGGUUCGAAUUGAAGCCCCGGUAAACGGCGGCCGUAACUAUAACGGUCCUAAGGUAGCGAAAUUCCUUGUCAGGUAAGUUCUGACCCGCACGAAUGGCGUAAUGAUUUGGGCACUGUCUCAACAGCCCGCCCGGCGAAAUUGUAGUACUGGUGAAGAUGCCAGUUACCCGCAACUAGACGGAAAGACCCCAUGGAGCUUUACUGUAGCUUAAUACUGAAGAUCGGUAAUGCAUGUACAGGAUAGGUGGGAGCCUAGGAAACCCGGGCGUCAGCUUGGGCGGAGGCAACCUUGGAAUACCACCCUUGUAUUGCUGGUUUUCUAACCUGCGGCCAUGAAUCUGGUCGGGGGACACUGUUAGGUGGGCAGUUUGACUGGGGCGGUCGCCUCCAAAAGCGUAACGGAGGCGCUCAAAGGUUGGCUCAGCACGGACGGAAAUCGUGCAUAGAGUGCAAACGCAUAAGCCAACUUGACUGCGAGACCGACGGGUCGAGCAGGUACGAAAGUAGGAGUUAGUGAUCCGGUGGUAUGUGAGUGGAAAUGCCAUCGCUCAACGGAUAAAAGCUACCCUGGGGAUAACAGGCUGAUCUCCCCCAAGCGUCCACAGCGACGGGGAGGUUUGGCACCUCGAUGUCGGCUCGUCACAUCCUGGGGCUGGAUUCGGUCCCAAGGGUUCGGCUGUUCGCCGAUUAAAGUGGCACGCGAGCUGGGUUCAGAACGUCGUGAGACAGUUCGGUCCCUAUCUGUUGCGGGCGCAGGAGAUUUGAAGGGAGCUGUCCUUAGUACGAGAGGACCGGGAUGGACAGACCUCUGGUGCACCAGUUGUCGUGCCAACGGCACAGCUGGGUAGCUACGUCUGGACGAGAUAAACGCUGAAAGCAUCUAAGUGUGAAACUCCCCCUAAGAUAAGAUCUCCCAUCCUUUAUGGAGUAAGGGACGACAAAGACUAUGUCGUUGAUAGGUCGGAAGUGUAAGUGCAGUAAUGCAUUGAGCUGACCGAUACUAAUAACCCGAGGGCUUGACCU